UAGGGAAUCUUCCGCAAUGGACGCAAGUCUGACGGAGCAAUGCCGCGUGAGUGAAGAAGGAUUUCGGUUCGUAAAACUCUGUUGUUAGAGAAGAACAGCGCAUAGAGUAACUGUUAUGCGUGUGACGGUAUCUAACCAGAAAGCCACGGCUAACUACGUGCCAGCAGCCGCGGUAAUACGUAGGUCCCGAGCGUUGUCCGGAUUUAUUGGGCGUAAAGCGAGCGCAGGCGGUUAGAAAAGUCUGAAGUGAAAGGCAGUGGCUCAACCAUUGUAGGCUUUGGAAACUGUUUAACUUGAGUGCAGAAGGGGAGAGUGGAAUUCCAUGUGUAGCGGUGAAAUGCGUAGAUAUAUGGAGGAACACCGGUGGCGAAAGCGGCUCUCUGGUCUGUAACUGACGCUGAGGCUCGAAAGCGUGGGGAGCGAACAGG
RNAcentral lists this ribosomal RNA (428 nucleotides) under Bacteroidota bacterium. RNAcentral describes it as "Bacteroidetes bacterium partial 16S ribosomal RNA". It matches the Rfam family "Bacterial small subunit ribosomal RNA", at positions 355 to 776 of the family's 1533-position model. The record is from RNAcentral. Lineage: Bacteria; Pseudomonadati; Bacteroidota.